This 11105-nucleotide long non-coding RNA is filed under the name Xyrichtys novacula (pearly razorfish). The record is from RNAcentral. Lineage: Eukaryota; Metazoa; Chordata; Actinopteri; Labriformes; Labridae.
GUUCGAAUCCGGGUCAGGGCGUUUCUGCCUGGAGUUUACAUGUUCUCCCUGUGUCUGUGUGGGUUUACUCCGGGUACUCCGGUUUCCUUCCACAUCCCAAAAACAUGCCUAAGUGGGAUUAGGUCAAUUGGUCACUUUCAAAUUGCCUGUAGGAGUGAAUGUGAGCAUGGAUGGUUGUUUGUCUCUAUAUGUUAGCCCUGCAAUGAACUGGCGACUUAUCCAGGGUGUCCUGUCCGGUCUUGGCCCUAAGUAGCUGGGAUAGGCUGCAGCCCCCCCCGCAACCCGGGGAAUGGGUAAUCGAUUGAUGGAUGGAUGGAAAGUUUAACUAGUGAUUAAUAGGUUUAUUGAGGUAAAAUCAUAGCUAAGCACUUAUCUAUUAUGCACAUGGUCAUGUGUGUUAGAGAUGAUGAUUAAGUAGGUGUGUGACACUAAACAUUUAAAAAGCGCAUUACAUGCUAUAACUGCCUAGAGAAGAUUAAUGUAACGAACCUGGGGCGCUGUAUCUAAGGGUAGUUGAUACAAAGAAAGGGCUAUACAUUUUCAGUCGUUUUUAGUUUUUACCAUCUUCUCGGGAACCUUUUUCAAAACAAAACAGCAAUAUAUGGUUUUAAUUUCCCAGUGGACAAGGCCUCAGAUCUUAAACCAGGGGGAACCAGCUCAUGCACGAGUCAAACGAAACUCCACACCAGGACUGACCUGGGAACAUUAAGCUGUGAGUAGCUUCUGCACCCCAGUGAAUGAAGCCCACAGUCAGAGUGAAGACAGGGGAUCAUUCCAAUAAAAGAAAAGAAAAAAAAAUCUCAAAAAAAUCACAAAAAUCUUUAUCCUGUGGUUUCAGUGUAAUAAAAUCAUCUUUGCCACUUCUGCAGGAUGUGAGGAGUCCGACUUGAAGCUUCAAACAAUUGCAGAGAAAGUAGCUGAUUGCUUGGACCAAACCGGCUCCUGCCUCCCUCCUGGUCUUUAUUAGAAGUUGAGACACAGGUGAGUCCAGUUACCUGCUGCACUGAGGGAAGCAGCACCAAGAGCUGCAAAAACAACAGAGACGAGCUGCAGGUGGUUUAAGCAGUUUUCUCGGAUACCAUUGUGGGAUUACUCCUACACGGAGAACACAUGCUAAAGGCUCUUUUCAUUGGGAUACAAGAUUACCGGCAUUCAUUGUGAUUUCAGAUGCAGAAUCAGCCGAGACGCACAUGUAAGACGGUAAGAAAGGCGUGAUUAUAAUCUUUCCUGAGCCACCUUACAUGGUACCGUAUUUAAAUGAAAUGUGUAAUAGCUCAGACCUUCACACACAUGCUCCCUGAUAUCUUCACACACACUUUGACACACUGCGCUCCUCUGCAACCCUCCCUCCUUUCAAGUUUCUUCGGCUAAGAGUGUUGCUUAUGCUGCCUUUCAUAUUGAAAGGGCAUCAUGAUAUUGUUAAAAUACCAUUUUCAGCCCUUUCAUCAGCAAAGGUCAGUGCAUACACUUGAAGGCCAUCCUUUGGACUCUUUAGAAGUAAGAGGCUCUCACUCAGCGCCGCUCCACUGUCAGAAGGCCUUGUGAACUGGGCUUUGUAUGGAGGGCUAUUUUAGAUGGGGUCAUCUUUUUGAAGGGAGGACUGGGGAUAGGUAGACUGUAGACUGCUAUUCAGAAACACGGAGCCAUGUCUUCACGAGUUUGGAUUCAGAUUUUGGUCGUUUAAAGGUUGCUGUUUGUUUCUGUGUUUGUGUUUUCACCUCUUUGGUUUUAGCAUGAAAGUGAAUCAGCUGAUCAUUUGCAAAAUCUGCACUUAUGGACUUCAAUCUGCUUCCUGAAUCAGUGUUUGAGCACUUAGGGCUGCAGCAAGGCCUUGUUUGUGUGUGAGGAAGCUUAGCAUCAGUGCAAGCACAGUUUUGCAGACCCUGUGCACUUUAACAAUCUUCACAAAGCCGACAAACGUGCAAUUUAGAGUGACAAUUUAGCCUGAUGAGUGUGUUUUUGGACUUUGGGAGGAAGUCUGAGUAAUCAGAGGAAACCCACGCCUUCAAAGGGAGAAUAUGUAAACCCCACACAUAAUGUUAGAGGCCAGGGAUUCCAACCAGGAACCUUCUUGCUGCGAAGUAACUUAAGGUGACCAGACUUCCCCGAUUCCUGAGGACAGUCCCCAUAUUGGAUGACCUGUCCCCGGCUAAAGCUGUCCUCGUUCAUGUCCCGAUUUAAGAGUUUCAUGAAUGAGAACAAAAAUGUUGCGUGUAGACUAGAACAACGAAUAUUACGGUAGCCAAGUAGGUAGGAAGUACGAGUAAGCAUGUUGCAUGCAGUCCUGGACAACAGUUUUUACAGGGAAUUAUUAUGGGAGGCGUGCGCUGCUACCAUAGACUGUAUAUACUAUGGACAACUUGUUUCCGCCUUCCGCCAGUAUACAGAUUUGAAGCCGAAAAGCUCUUGGUAAUUCCACGGUUUUUCUCCAUUUCCUGAAACCAACAUUGCGCAGUAGCGUUGUAUGCAUUUGGCGGGAGAGUUGCCGAGAGUCGCUGUGAUGAUGCGGCUCUCCAGAAAUGGAGGGCCUGAAAUUACAUUUACCCCCAACCUCCAGAUGUUCCCAAAUGUCCCCCGGAUUUUAUUACAGAAAUCUGGUCACCUUAAAGUAACAGCGUUAGGAAUGGCGUGAUAUCAUUAAAGCACGACUCUGUUUCAGACAGGUUUGCUCAGGUAGUCUAACCGGAGGGUACCCUAAAAACAAGGAUGGUACUUUAUGAUUGUUUUGCCCAACUUUGUAAUCUGAGCCCGACCACUUGGAGGUCCUACUUCCCAAACAAAAACAAGGCAAGGGGCUGACAGUCACUCAGAAAAUCCAAGGCUUUAGAGGCCCCAGUAGGUCUGGGAACCUCUCACAAAAACCACCGAGCAAUCUCCAUCCACAGGGUAAAUCUACAUGCUGCUGCUAAAAGUUGAACUUCAUCAGAGAUUUUCCAGUGACUAAAUUAUUCAAUCUGAGCAGUUUUCCACUUUUUGUCUCAUCCAUCAAUUGUUCCCUCAGGAGGAACUCGUCCCACAGAAUGAUUUCUGGCAGCUAUCUGCUCUGCUGACCACUUCGAGAAAUCAGCUUCAGUCUGUAAUGAAUUGGCACGACUUUGAGCCAACCUGCCCCCUCCCUCUCUUUACCCUUCGCCCACAUCCCUGCCUCCUAUUGUUUCCCCCCCGAUGAUAUCCAACGUCUGCUACCUGUCCCGCCCACAUGAGGCCAGAUCAAAGACUCUGGCUGUGAACAACGGCACACAGGAACCUAACCAGGAAGUGGAACCAGGAUCACACAGAUGCGCUUUGAAUAGUGGAGGCAAGGCUUUGACGUCCAUACGCAGUCAUUGCUGUGCUGGAAAAAUGGAUUGUUAUUGUACAAAAGACUUGACUUGACAGUGACAAUCAUUCCCAAAGCAGCUGAAAUUCAGAUUUAAAUACAAUGCAAGUUGAUCUAGUGUCGAAAACAUGCAACCGAAGCACGGCUAAGCAUAGAGGUCAUGGGAAAAAACCUACUGUCUGUCUCUGCGAACCUCAAUCUCAUUUAAAUACACUCCAAUCACUCCACCAUGGACGGAUAUGAGGGAAUGAGACCCCCAAUUUUGGGUCCUGAACCCCUUCAUUUAGAACCUGGAUCAGCCAUACAAGCUGUUCCACACAGGCAUCGACCCAGACAGCCGUGGGACUGUGGUCAACCAGGGGGCCUCACAUGGAACCUGGCCAGGCGCCACUGUGGUAGCCGAUCCCCCCGUCAUGUGACCAAUCAGCUGGCUUUUUACUGCCUGAAACUCGGUCCUAACCAAUCGCAGACUCACAAGCCUUCAGUAUCAACUAACGUCAGAUAUGCUGAGCUGUUUGGAUGAUGGCUGCUGGGCAAGAAAGAGCCAGGACUUCCUCCUUACGUCUAAAUUGGAUUAAGCGAGUUGUUAUUGCAGCUUUUUGACUGUUCGGAGUAUAAAUAAGAGAAGAGGAUUACGUGGUGAAAGUCCUGACAAUUACGGGACAUUUUCUCGGGGUUAGGCGAGGAAGAGUGUUGAGCUUACAGGAGGAGGAGCUUUAUCACUUGCAAAAUAAAAGUAUAGUUGCACAAGACCUAAACACAAGACAGAAAUAUUAUCACAGUCAAAGCAAGACAAGUGAGGCAAUGUCCUCCAAAGAAGUUUAGCCUUUCCUCAGUAUGACUAAUCUACUAAAAGAAAAACUGGAGUCAUGUUUCUCUCUCUUGUUGAGAUUAUGUAUCUCAAAAAUGCUUUGGGAAAUUAAGAAGACCAGAAACUCAAUCUGCUGGUCGUGAAGCACGGCAGUAUGGGAUGCUUUGCCGCAGAAAGGUUGCAGAGGACGUGAGGUCGGAUAGCCGGCUGGGUCGUGUCGGGGGAUUCUGUGUGUCCUCCCUGCAGCUGAAGGAAAAGCAUCUUUUGUAAAGGAGAGCGAUCACCAUUGUCCCCUUCUGAUGUUUACGUUUGUCUUGAAUUUCACCCAGUGCUCAGCGCCGCCCCGCCGAGCCACAGGAUGGGCAUUGUUCUGGGCCCGUGCAGGAAUGGUAGCCUGCAGUCACCUUCUCUCUGACUGUCGCCAUUGUCCCCCCCCUCCACCAACGCUCUUUUGUUUUUGCUCCCCACCACAGACAGCUCAGAUUGUUGCCUGAUGUUGUUUCCUCUCAUCCCAUUGUUUCCACGUCUCCUCUUUGUAUGACUUUCCUCCUCUGUGUAGGCCGGUGUUGGCUGAGCGGUUAGAGGGGAUGGGGAGUGAGGGGCUGGAGGAGCAGAGGGGGGUUAGGGUACACAGAGUGCAUGUGAAGUUUUAUGGCUAACCACAUGUGUUUUUGAAUCUUUGAGCCUCCUCGUUUUUUCCCAGGGUGAGGGGUUGUAGUCUGUAGCAGGAGGAUGGGGCGGAGAGAGGGAAGUUGGGGUAUGAGAGAGAGAGAGAAUUAAGGAGCCAGGACCGGGACAUGUGGUUCUUGUUUGGGGCGCUACAUGCCGAGAUGGAGGGUCUGGCCUCUCUUCUCUCCUAACCUGCAUCAACAAUCUAAACACCAUGCUGAUUAUUAAACAGUAUGGAUGCUCUCAAGGCCAGUGAUAAAUGCAGCGAGAGCACAACUCACACUCCUCUUCAUUUGCAAAUCAGCCGGUCAGAAAGCGACUGAAGUACAGAGAGGAUUCAAGGACGCUCUCAUAUUACGAAUCUAUCACAUUUCCUUUGUGAUAUUCUACAUCUCCGAUGUCCUAGAUGAGGCUUUUUGUUAGUUGUAACUGUGUGGGAGUGCAUUAGCAUGAUGCCUCCAGGCUGAAUUCACAACAGUAUGCGGUAAAGUUCUACUGAGAACCACGUGAACACAAACCACAGCCCUCCUUCAGUCUGUUAGAGACAAGAAACACCCACAUAACUGCAAAGUCUUCAGAGGAACGAGCUGUUUUAUAUGCAAACAGCCCCAAAACACCAAAAGGCCACUCUGGGAGGCCAAUGAUUUAAUGUAAUACAAUCUGUGCUACAAUUACCCUUAAUAGAAAUCCAUUUAAAAAUGUUUUUAUUAGGAUGGAUCAGCACAGUGAUCUUGUAUUUGAUGUGUUUGAAUCACGAUGAAAUAUAGUUUAGAAAGUUGCAACUUUAAAGUCUCACUUUGAUUUUUUUUUCUACUAAAAGUGUUAUAAGUGGUCUUUGAAUCGCGAUUAUGAAGUUUUUAGCCAAAACCACGUGACCUGUGUCAUUUUCAAGGGAUUUUCUUCUGCAGAGCUCCAAUAGCUCAUUAGCAACUCGCUUCUGUGUCGUGGGCGGAGACAACGCUGCUCUGCACAUUCCUCUUUACGCUAACUUGCAGCCUAACAUUGCCGGUGUUGUACAUCAUGGUCUCAACUUUCUCUGUAAGUGCAUAGAAACUCUACAGUAUGCUUGCAAAAGGUAGACAAAACCUUUAUUAACUUUCUGCAUGAAAAAAGCAGACCCUUUGUAGAUUUUCUGUCCCAUCCCACACGUUUGAUUACAUGUUUUAUCACCUUCACUCUGCUUAGACAGGGAAUUCAGAGGAGGGGGGUAUGGAGGACUAAAAGUGACAGAAUGAAAUAGAUAAAUACAUCUUUAAAUAGAUACUUAAAUAUGUCAUAAAUUAAAUAAAAUGGGAAUUUAAUACAUAAAUGUGUCAAUAAUUUAUUCAAAUGCCAUUUAAUUUAAUUUAAAAACGUAUAAUUAUUUCACUAUUUAAUCAAUUAUUUCAAGGACCUGUGUUGCGGUGCUUCAUGAAUUUAUCACAUUUAUUGAUUGAAUUGCAAUUUUAAUUUAUUAAUGAAACAUUUAAGUAUUUAUUUAAAGAUGUAUUUAUAUAUUUCAAUCUCUCUGUUAGUCCUCCAUAGAUGAGGGAUAUGAAAAUGCCCUGGAGGGUUUAUCACAGAAAAGCUGUUGGCCUCAUGAAGUGAGUGGAUUUUACAGCAAGUUGGCACAUUCAGACUCUAGAGCUGAUACUGUUUACACAACAAUAUUAUGUUGUAUGUUUGGAUGAUUUUGGUGCAUGCUUUACAGACUUUUCCUUUUACACUGACUUUGGCAUUUGUGUAUUUGAUCAGAAAGAAACAAAACUCAAGCUCCUUUUUACUCUCUUCAUCUGAUGGGUCUGACUCGGCUGAUGGAGUGUAGUGUGCUUUAUUGUCAAACAGCCAAAAUACUGAGCUAGCAGCGUGAGAAUCAGUAGUCCCCACACGAAAUAAAGGGGCAGAGGAAGGUGAACUGAGUUUCAGAUCUCCAAAUUUCCCAAAGAAAAGCCUCUCUGCCUCUUCAUAAGAACAAACCCGAGUUAAUCCUGCUUCCAUGAAUGAGGCUACAGUUAAAAAGAUCAGUGCCGGUGAGCUUUAAAGAUGGAGGGGGGCCGUGGUCAAACUCAUUUCUUGAUUACCUCAUGGCCUUACACAAUCAGCGCUGCUGCUCAUUUGGCUCCCCUUUUUCAUGACAUCCUCUUGAACCCCCCCUGAGUGAUGUCAUCCCUCCGUCCUCGGCCUUCACCUUGCUGGAAAGAGUAGAAGAAGAAAAAAGGGGAGGAAGGGGAAAGAAAGAAGCCAUGGAAGGAGGUGAGCUUGGAGCCGGGGGUCCUCACUCCUGCUGGUCUGCCUGGGAAAGGAGCAGGCCUGGCUUCACAUCACACACACAGCCUGAACCAGCAUAUGUGUGAGCGCGCAUGAGAGUGCAUUGACUUGCAAGAGAGUGAGCGUAGCUGUGCGUGACUGGGAGAAGAGAGGAGUUUCAAAGAGGAGAAUUAGAAAGGAUAACAGGGAACGUGUGAGAGGGCAGGGAAAAUCAGGGAGAGGAUAAAAACACUUCAUAGAUGUGAUGAAAGAAGUCAUGAGGAGGGUGAAUAUGGAUGAUGGCUCAACUACGGUGGCCGGCAAGGUCAAAACAGGAUUUUCAAAGAGAGCUGGGCUGCGAAUUCGUUAUGAAAUAAAAACACCUGCAACAAUCCAAAGCAGAUAAUAUGCAGCAGGACCUGGCUGGUAAAAGAAGUUUGGUGUUCGAUUGUGACCAGUGUUUAACAGAAGUUUGAGGAUAUGUAGGGACUAGGGUGACCAUAUUCUGAAUUCUCAAAAAGAGGACACGACUACACAGGGGUGGAGUCACGGAGCCGCGCGUAGUUAAUUUUGAGAUUUUUUCUGGGUCGAGUGUUUUUUAUGUGCUUCUAACUCAGUAAGUCCAUGCGACACAAACUCAAAACUUCCAUGCAAAACCCUGGACAUUUGAAGGAAUUUAUAAACUUCUCUGGACAAGGCCAGACAUCCCCCAAAAGAGGACAUGUCCGGGUAAAAGAGGAUGUAUGGUCACCCUAGCAGGAACAAGAUUAGAGGAUCAUCCUGAUAUCGUCUGCUUGUUCCUGACUCUUAGCCUACACUUCAUGUCUCUUUCUUAAGCUGUCCGAUCAAAUAAAGACUAAAAAAAUAACCCUUAAGAGUAUUUGAGGUUUAGAUCUGUGCAGUUAAAGUUAGAAAUACAGAAACCAUUGGUGUCAGCUGAACAAAACUUCGGAGGGGGCAAAGAGGGCAGGGGGGAGGCAUCAGAGGCAGGAAUUAGGGAGGGGAGGGAGGAGAGGGCUGUGAUCCAGAUGAAAAGCUAAAAAAAUGCCAAAUGUGGAAAAAGAAGCUGCAGCGCUUGCUCGCUCGCUCGCUCGUCCCUGGCUGGGCGUGGGUCAGAGCCGGAGUAAACAAACCCACAGCUAAGCUGCCUGUUUGAUCUGUUCAGCUGCGAAACACUGAGUGGAGUAAACAGAAAAAUUAGACUGGGUCAGCUUCAGAGGGGGGCCGUGCAUAGACCGGGGUGUGAGUGAGUGAGUGAGUGUGUGUGUGUGUGUGUGUGUGUGUGUGUGUGUGUGUGUAUGUUGUUUCAUCCGGAUACACACACACCAAAAAAAGUUAGCUGUUCCAACCCAAAAGCAAACUGACAGGGGGAUCUGCUCAGUCUGAGAUGACCACUUUUCAGCACCUUAAACUCAGCCUGUCAGCACUUAUUUUGGGUUUUAAUGUCACACGGCGCCUCAGGACCAAACGGGGUCUGACUUGGACGAGGAUUUUCUCUCUGCCAGGAACAGAAGUCGACCACUUGAAGACAUUAGUCCUGUUUCUUCAAAUGCCAAAGCAUGAAAACCAGAAAAUCAGCAGCGUUGAGUUUAAGAGUUCCUACAAGGAGCUUUAAAGAAGGGGAGUCGUAUUUUUAUAUCAAAGUUUAAAGUUGGAUGCUUCUCAUUCAGAAACAGCAGCGGUGUGCUUUACCCUGAAGUGCCUGUCAGAUAACAAAAGAGUGAAGUUUUAUUCCCUCUCUCUCUUUUCUAACGUCAGAAUCUGUGCUCCUUUUGCAGAUGAACUCCUGACUCUUUCCAGAUCAUUUCAGGACCUGAUAUAUUUUUGGAAACGUCCUUUAACAGUCAGUCCAUUUUUGUUGCAUCACGGCUGAAAUGAAUGCCUCUAUUUGUCCUAUAAAUGGUGACACCUCAUCUUCUCCAGCUUUUAAUCAGUCUUUUAAAAGGAACUCAAGGUUUUAAUGAUUGUUGAAUGAUACCACAUUACAAUAAUGAAGCCAAAGAAGGAUCACUCAGUCGCUUCAUUAAUUUGACGGAGGAUCUUGUCAUGACGCUUCAUCUUCGCACGUCUUAAAGCGUGAUUUAAUGCAGAUAUGUGCAAAACCUGUCAAAGGCACAAUGGCCUGAAGAUCAGAGGCUCGGCGUCACUUUGUUGGCGGCUACCUUUGAAAACUUGUUACUCGGCUGAAAAAGAAACACGUCAGGCGGAAGAAUCUUCACGACACGCCUUUGCCUGUUUUUCCAGCCUUGAAGAAGUUAAAAUUAGUCUUUUAAAAGGCAGAAUUCAAAGCUGGGAGCAUGAAAAGGGGGGCAGAAUGAAAUGUCGGCACUGCAGUGUUAAAAGGGAGAUGGGAGAUGAGAGAUCCUAGUGUCUGACUUUGGUGUGACUUCAAAAGGCUGUGUUUAAAGCGGCAGGCCUUAAUGCUGGCCUGAUAGCACAACUGUCAUGUCUGUGUGACCUCCCACAGCUGGCCAGCCAGGAACACAGGACCCAUGCGGCGUGCGUCUGUGUGUGUGUGUGUUUGUGUGUGUUACAGAUUUCUUGAUGUGAGCUUCUGAACUUGUUUGCUUUUUGUAUAUUUGUGUGUCAGCACUCUUGUGGCUCUUGCUGUGUGUCUUGAUGUGAUUGUCUGUGUGCCCUUUAAUGUUCCUGUUUUGAAGUCGGUGUGUGUGUGUUUGCCUGAGCCAUGACUUUGUGCGUGUGUGUGUGUGUGUGUGUGUGUGCACAGAGGUUGAAGAUCUAAGCCAGGCUCUGCCCUCUCUCCCUAUGCACAGGGCCCUUUUUUCCUCCUUGUUAAGAUUCAAAAGCUGAUAGGCUUUGAACUGCAGCUGUAGACUCUGCAGUCAUUUCAGCACUUUAGCUCAACUAGCUAAAGUUGCCCUUGCGCUGCCUGUCACCCCAACGCCGCUGCCAUUACGAACCAUCACACCAGCCACAUUAACGGCGGAGCAGCGGGCGAAGGCGUACAGCAGCAUUUAUUAAAGCGGGGAUUUUCCUUUGAUGUGGCAAAACAGACAACUGGUCUGAACACGAUGUCCCUCAGUUCAACUUUUUCCCUUUGAGAGAGAAGCUGAUCUAAUGUUUGGCAUGUCAUAAACAACUGGCGAAAUGGGCUGAAGACUUUUAUCCAUUCAGAACUUGUUAACUUUGUUGGUCGCUCUGUCAGUCUGUGCAUCACUUUGGUCUGGACUGAAAGAACGUCUCGGAUUACCCUCAGCCUCCACAUCUGCUGAAGAACUUUUUAGAUAAGCCACAGACGCAAUAGUUCAAUCAGUGAGUCUAAAACAAAUAGUUUGAAACCAUAAAGUGCUUUCCAGAAGAGCAGAUCCCAGGUAGUAUGAUGCUGUCUCUAACCUGUGAUAUCAAAACAAUCAACAAAGAAGUUCGCGCAAGGCUAUCUAGCUAAAUGUCAACUUUCCCGCUUACCUUUUAUGUCGACGAUACAACAAUUUCUGCAUUUUCACCCCCCUCUGUAGAGGUUUUACUCACUACCCUGCUGGAUUUAUGGAUUCAUGCUAUUCAACUCCAGGUUAAAGCUAAACUUACAUGCAGAAACUCCAUCUGCAUAGUCUGUUGUGUUAUGCUGCGUCCCUGUUACUUCGGAAGUCGGAUGUCAGAGCUUGGAAUGAUGUUACACCCCAGUUGACGGUGUUCAGGUAAAACCAACAUGAAUGCCUACUGUUACCCGUUGUUAGCUGUUGUUGACAAUUGUCAGCUGUCGUUAUCUGUUGUCAGCUGUUGUUAGUUGUUGUUAGCGAUACCAGUUGUAAACAACGCAUAACACAGUAUUUUACUCUUACAAACACCACAGCACCGUGUUCACAGUUAGACGUCUGGCAGUCCAACAUGUACCACUUAUUUAAUUUCACAAAAACAAAACAGAAAUACUUAUAGAUAAUACAUUACGAGAGCUUUCACUGUCACUCUUUACUGUUGAUGCGCUGCGCUGCCAUCUUGAAUUAUGACACUGUUGUCAAGUCAGGGUUGGUGAGGAUUGUCUGAUUUUUCCGAGGCAGAAAUCCGACUUCAGGGGCUCGGAGCUCGGAGCUCGGGAAUCCCGACUUCCAAGUACAACUGUAA